AAAUUUAGGUUAACCAAACCAAGAGCCUUCAAAGCCCUAAACAAGAGUAACAAAAUCUCUU
RNAcentral lists this transfer RNA (61 nucleotides) under Cnemaspis podihuna. RNAcentral's name for it is "tRNA-Trp". Lineage: Eukaryota; Metazoa; Chordata; Lepidosauria; Squamata; Gekkonidae. The record is from RNAcentral.